RNAcentral lists this small RNA (123 nucleotides) under marine eukaryotic metagenome. RNAcentral's name for it is "Ribosomal protein L10 leader". It matches the Rfam family "Ribosomal protein L10 leader". Rfam says of the family: This family is a putative r-protein leader autoregulatory structure found in B. subtilis and other low-GC Gram-positive bacteria. It is located in the 5' untranslated regions of mRNAs encoding ribosomal proteins L10 and L12 (rplJ-rplL). The record is from RNAcentral.
GAUAAAUAUAAAAAACCAAAGACAGUUGGUGGGUAAAACCCUUAAAUGAAUGUGCCAGCCGAGGUUUUGAACAUAGAGAUGAGUUUAAUAACCCCUGGCAUUUAUAUGUGUCAGGGGUUUUUA